UGGGGAAUUUUGGACAAUGGGGGCAACCUUGAUCCAGCCAUUCCGCGUGAGUGAAGAAGGCCUUCGGGUUGUAAAGCUCUUUUGUCCGGAGCGAAACGGUGGCGGUGAAUAUCCGCCACUACUGACGGUACCGGAAGAAUAAGCACCGGCUAACUCUGUGCCAGCAGCCGCGGUAAUACAGAGGGUGCAAGCGUUAAUCGGAGUUACUGGGCGUAAAGGGCACGUAGGUGGUUAUAUAAGUCAGUUGUGAAAUCCCCGGGCUUAACCUGGGAACUGCAGCUGAUACUGUAUGACUCGAGUCGAAGAGAGGGAAGCGGAAUUUCCGGUGUAGCGGUGAAAUGCGUAGAUAUCGGAAGGACAUCUGUGGCGAAGGCGGCUUCCUGGCUUUCAGACUGACACUGAGGUGCGAAAGCGUGGGUAGCGAACAGGAUUAGAUACCCCAGUAGUCCCUGAGCGGGCUGGCAAGGCGCAU
RNAcentral lists this ribosomal RNA (472 nucleotides) under uncultured bacterium. RNAcentral describes it as "bacterial SSU rRNA". It matches the Rfam family "Bacterial small subunit ribosomal RNA", at positions 355 to 825 of the family's 1533-position model. The record is from RNAcentral.